Molecule: ribosomal RNA, 378 nt
Filed under: uncultured eukaryote
Lineage: Eukaryota
Description: SSU rRNA
Rfam family: Eukaryotic small subunit ribosomal RNA
Source: RNAcentral
AGCUCCAAUAGCGUAUAUUAAAGUUGUUGCAGUUAAAAAGCUCGUAGUUGGAUUUGUGGCUGUCGCAUGCGGCCCGCAUUCGUGCGGUGUUUGCUAGCGUCGCCAUCCUUGGGUGGAACCUGUGUGGCAUUAGGUUGUCGUGCAGGGGAUGCCCAUCGCUUACUGUGAAAAAAUUAGAGUGUUCAAAGCAGGCUUACGCCGUUGAAUAUAUUAGCAUGGAAUAAUAAGAUAGGACCUUGGUACUAUUUUGUUGGUUUGCGCACCAAGGUAAUGAUUAAUAGGGACAGUUGGGGGUAUUCGUAUUCCAUUGUCAGAGGUGAAAUUCUUGGAUUUUUGGAAGACGAACUACUGCGAAAGCAUUUACCAAGGAUGUUUUCA